This 211-nucleotide ribosomal RNA is filed under the name uncultured bacterium. RNAcentral describes it as "partial 16S ribosomal RNA". It matches the Rfam family "Bacterial small subunit ribosomal RNA", at positions 1289 to 1500 of the family's 1533-position model. The record is from RNAcentral.
CAGUUCGGAUUGAAGGCUGAAAUUCGCCUUCAUGAAGCCGGAAUUGCUAGUAAUGGCAGGUCAGCAUACUGCCGUGAAUACGUUCCCGGGCCUUGUACACACCGCCCGUCACACCAUGAGAGUUGGGAAUACCCGAAGCCUGUGAGCUAACGUUAAGAGGCAGCAGUCGAAGGUAGAAUCAAUGAUUGGGGUGAAGUCGUAACAAGGUACC